UCACACUUUGCAGAGCUACUCAGAGCUAUACGGGCGCUAUACGGCAGAGCUCUGAGUAGCUCUGCAAAGUGUGA
Non-coding RNA from Pelobates cultripes (western spadefoot toad), 74 nucleotides. The record is from the annotation of a GenBank genome assembly. Lineage: Eukaryota; Metazoa; Chordata; Amphibia; Anura; Pelobatidae.